RNAcentral lists this ribosomal RNA (500 nucleotides) under uncultured bacterium. Its description in RNAcentral is "partial 16S ribosomal RNA". It matches the Rfam family "Bacterial small subunit ribosomal RNA", at positions 29 to 523 of the family's 1533-position model. The record is from RNAcentral.
AUUGAACGCUGGCGGCAUGCCUUACACAUGCAAGUCGAACGGCAGCACGGGAGCAAUCCUGGUGGCGAGUGGCGAACGGGUGAGUAAAGUAUCGGAACGUGCCCAGUCGUGGGGGAUAACGUAGCGAAAGUUACGCUAACACCGCAUACGAUCUAUGGAUGAAAGCGGGGGAUCGCAAGACCUCGCGCGAUUGGAGCGGGCGAUAUCAGAUUAGGUAGUUGGUGGGGUAAAGGCUCACCAAGCCGACGAUCUGUAGCUGGUCUGAGAGGACGACCAGCCAGACGGGGGCUGGGACACGGCCCAGACUCCUACGGGAGGCAGCAGUGGGGAAUUUUGGACAAUGGGCGAAAGCCUGAUCCAGCCAUGCCGCGUGCAGGAUGAAGGCCUUCGGGUUGUAAACUGCUUUUGUACGGAACGAAAAGGUUUGGCCUAAUAAGCUGAGCUCAUGACGGUACCGUAAGAAUAAGCACCGGCUAACUACGUGCCAGCCGCCGCCGUAA